AGGCAGCAGUGGGGAAUUUUUCGCAAUGGGCGAAAGCCUGGCGGAGCAAGCCCGCGUGGGGGAGGAAUGCCUUAGGGUUGUAAACCCCUUUUUUUUGGGAAGAAAAAAAUGACGGUACCCGAUGAAUAAGCCUCGGCUAAUUCCGUGCCAGCAGCCGCGGUAAUACGGAGGAGGCAAGCGUUUUCCGGAUUUAUUGGGCGUAAAGCGUCCGCAGGUGGCAGUUCAAGUUUGCUGUCAAAGACAGUGGCUCAACCACUGAAAGGCAGUAGAUACUGAACAGCUAGAGUGUGGUAGGGGCAGAGGGAAUUCCAGGUGUAGCGGUGAAAUGCGUAGAUUUCUGGAAGAACAUCGGUGGCGAAAGCGCUCUUCUAGGCCGCAACUGACACUCAGGGACGAAAGCUUGGGGAGCGAAUGGGAUUAGAUACCCCAGUAGUCCUAGCCGCGUCGUAAUACUAGGUGUUGCGUGUAUCGACC
This 474-nucleotide ribosomal RNA is filed under the name uncultured bacterium. Its description in RNAcentral is "bacterial SSU rRNA". It matches the Rfam family "Bacterial small subunit ribosomal RNA", at positions 346 to 837 of the family's 1533-position model. The record is from RNAcentral.